RNAcentral lists this long non-coding RNA (327 nucleotides) under Bos taurus (domestic cattle). Its description in RNAcentral is "long non-coding RNA NONBTAT021940". The record is from RNAcentral. Lineage: Eukaryota; Metazoa; Chordata; Mammalia; Artiodactyla; Bovidae.
GUACCUGUUGAUUUUUUUCAUUGCAGGGAAGUAAUGAUUUAACACAUGGCACAGUAAGAAAGACUGAAACUUAUUAAGAAACAUUCUACUACAUCUAAAAACUAAAAACUUUUAAGAAUUUGGCUCAUUUGAUGUUGAAGUAUGACAAUUUCAGAGAUAUCCCAUCAUCAAAAUGUAUUAAAUCUCAAUGAUUAAGUAAUAAUGUGAAUGGACUUUAUCAUAUACAGUAAGAACAGCAUGAUACCAUGAUACAGGUUCCCCAUCUUACAAAAAGACCUAUACAAGAAAGAACAUGGUUGCUACAAUGCUUGAUCAAUUCUCCAACAG